GAUAUCCUUUUUUGAUGGUUUAAACUUGCUUGCUCUUCUCCUGAUAUGGCAGAAAACGGCAAUGAGCCCAACUAUCACCCCAGCAGAGAGGCAUCCUAGCAGUGCUUCAUAUCCUGCGGAUAAAUUUGAUGAGCUCAAAGUUUGAAAGAUCAGGCAGAACAGAAUGGGUGAAGAGAGGUAAAGCCACAAACCUCUGUGCAUCCUUUAGGUUAUGGGGCGUGUGGGAAGAACACCAGAUUGAUUCUCACUUACCUUGUGUCUGUUCUGAUCAAAGCAAGUUAAUGUCAACACAAUCUAUACCCAGUCGUUAUUACCAAUGAAGUGUUG
Molecule: long non-coding RNA, 327 nt
Filed under: Setaria italica (foxtail millet)
Lineage: Eukaryota; Viridiplantae; Streptophyta; Magnoliopsida; Poales; Poaceae
Description: long non-coding RNA (SITA_LNC005288)
Source: RNAcentral